Molecule: ribosomal RNA, 287 nt
Filed under: uncultured bacterium
Lineage: Bacteria
Description: partial 16S ribosomal RNA
Rfam family: Bacterial small subunit ribosomal RNA
Source: RNAcentral
GUGGAUUAGAUACCCUGGUAGUCCAUGCCGUAAACGUUGGGAACUAGGUGUGGGUCUCAUUCCACGAGAUCCGUGCCGCAGCUAACGCAUUAAGUUCCCCGCCUGGGGAGUACGGCCGCAAGGCUAAAACUCAAAGGAAUUGACGGGGGCCCGCACAAGCGGCGGAGCAUGCGGAUUAAUUCGAUGCAACGCGAAGAACCUUACCAAGGCUUGACAUACACCGGAAUCACUCAGAGAUGGGUGCGUCUUCGGACUGGUGUACAGGUGGUGCACGGUUGUCGUCAGCU